AUUGAACGCUGGCGGCAGGCCUAACACAUGCAAGUCGAGCGGAUGAAGGGAGCUUGCUCCUGGAUUCAGCGGCGGACGGGUGAGUAAUGCCUAGGAAUCUGCCUGGUCGUGGGGGAUAACGUCCGGAAACGGGCGCUAAUACCGCAUCCGUCCUGAGGGAGAAAGUGGGGGUUCUUGGGACCUACCGCUAUUGGAUGAACCUAGGUCGGAUUAGCUAGUUGGUGGGGUAAAGGCCUACCAAGGCGACGAUCCGUAACUGGUCUGAGAGGAUGAUCAGUCACACUGGAACUGAGACACGGUCCAGACUCCUACGGGAGGCAGCAGUGGGGAAUAUUGGACAAUGGGCGAAAGCCUGAUCCAGCCAUGCCGCGUGUGUGAAGAAGGUCUUCGGAUUGUAAAGCACUUUAAGUUGGGAGGAAGGGCAGUAAGUUAAUACCUUGCUGUUUUGACGUUACCAACAGAAUAAGCACCGGCUAACUUCGUG
This 484-nucleotide ribosomal RNA is filed under the name uncultured bacterium. Its description in RNAcentral is "partial 16S ribosomal RNA". It matches the Rfam family "Bacterial small subunit ribosomal RNA", at positions 30 to 507 of the family's 1533-position model. The record is from RNAcentral.